GCUCGGCCGCCGCGUCCCCGUGCUGUUCGCUGCUGAGCUGCAGCCCUCACAGAGCUCCAGCGCCAGGGGAUUGCCGUGCGAGCUGUAGGCACGUUCACAGACGGGUACCUUAAUGUAUAUGUGCUAAUAUAAAUUGCAUAAAGGAGGCGUUUUGGGAAGACAGAUGGGAGAAGAGAACCAGAGCCACUACCAGAACAUGACCUAAAUCAGGACAAACAUUGGAAGACUGUCAGAUGUUUAAAAAAAACAAGAAGGCUGGAUUUGACUCUGCAAGUAGCUUCUAGUAACCAGGGUGUUUCACAGUGCUGUAACAAGGACAAAGGAGACACAGUACAAGACCAAAUUAAGAUGCAGUCAAUUCGUCUGUGUGAUAAUCUUUGCAACUGGGAAAGGAAGAUUAAGACAUAAAGUCGUUGUCUUCAUGGAAAAAUGCUGGAAUUGCCUCUGUGGAUGUGUGCUGAGCUCUGGCUGCAGGGACUGCCAGGCCUUUAUUGCUGAAUUUUGAGGCCCAGGGAGCGCCCAGGAGAUUUGCCAAAAUCCGCUAUGAUUUCACCGCGCGAAACACCAACGAGCUCUCGGUGCUCAAGGACGAAAUCCUGGAGAACUAAUUCACCAAAUGGAUGAGCUGAAUGACGAGCUGCUAAAGAAGAUCACAAACAAUAAAAUUCAGCCUCCCCACAGGAAUUUCAAAGUGGAAAAGCCUCAGCAAGUUUUUGUGCCCCUCACCUUUGAAUCCAGCACUGAAGAAGUCAAAGCCUGGCUGGAGGCCAAGUCGUUCAGCAAAGAGACCGUGGAGCACCUGGGCAUCCUCACUGGAGCUCAGCUCUUCUCCCUCAACAGAGAGGAGCUGAAGAAGGUGUGUGGUGAUGAGGGAAACAGAGUGUACAGCAAGAUCACGGUGGAGAAAAACCUGCUGGAGAAAAGCAGAGGCGAGUCAGAGCUCCAAGAAAUCAUGAAGCGCCGCCAGGAAAGGAUUGAUUCUGCUAAUUAAAGUCUCUCUGCUUUAUUUCAGCUCUUAGCCCUAAGUAGUGCAGAAAAAAAGGGAAUGAAAGCAAUGAUUCCCGGCCCGGGCCGGAGGCAGCAGAGCUCCCCUUGGGGUCCAGCUGCCAUCAGAGUGACAAUUCCUUGAACACUCUUGGGAAGGGUUGACAUAAGACCAUGUCCCACUGGGAAAGGUGUUUUAAUUUUGCAUGAAGUAUUUUUUUUAUAACUAUAUAUUUUAUACUGGAAUUUUCCGUGCAUGCUAUCGGAGCAGGAUUCACAUGGGGCUGGAUGUACAAGGGCUGGACUCAAGCAGACAAAGACCCCCAGAGCUUUUCUCCGAGGGUGUCCCUGCUCCCCCCUCGCUGGCAGAGCAGGCGUGGCACAGCACGGAGAGGCAGCCUCAAGGCUGGAGUCUCUCCACGGGAAUCAGCUUUGGAACCCUGCACUGGUUUGGGUUUAAGGAAAGGACACUAAAGCUCAUCCUGUUCCACCCCCCAUCACGGGCAGGGACGCCUCUCACCAGCCCAAGUUGUUCCAAAUCCUGUCCAGCCUGGCCUUGGACACUUCCUGGGAUGGGGAUCACAGCCCCUCUGGGCAGCCUAAGGCAGCCCCAUUUCCAUUUCCUCCUCGGUGCAGGUGUCCCCUGCAGCCCACGAGCACAGGCCCGGUGACAACUCCCUGUCCCCCUCCUGUCCCCCUGUGCCCCCGCAUUGGACAAGGCUGGAAUGGCAACACACAUUCCCAAAGUCUGGCUGCUUCCUUAAACCCACGUCUCUGAGCAGCUGAAAUGAGCUCUCAGCGCCUAGAAAGGAGCAGGAGUGACAAACAAAGGGAUCUGGGUGUGGAAAUAGGUGAGUUCCACCUGCAGAGGCCAGGGCUCAGGGCAGCUGUGCAGCCCUUCCCUGGGGCACUGAUCCUGCACUGGAAUGUUGUGGUGUUGCCAAACCCGGCCUCAAACCAGCAGAAGAUAAGCCCUGACCAUUUGCUCCCGACCCAGGCACACCCACAGCCCUUCCCAGGGUGUUGGUCACUCGUCCCCACCUUCACCUUUUCAGUGCAAAAAGUCAGCUGAAAUGAUUCCCAAAUAGCUGAAACCCCAAAGCACACUGGGAAAGGCAGGUUUAACUCCAGAUAAAUGGGCAUAAGGGAAAAAAAAUCUAAUUCAGCACAGGAUGUUGCUCUUGACUUCCUGUUUUCCCUCAUAUAUGCAUUUGUAUAUAACAAUCUGUAAAUAGGGGUGAGGAAAAAUCU
Molecule: RNA transcript, 2235 nt
Organism: Ficedula albicollis (Collared flycatcher)
Lineage: Eukaryota; Metazoa; Chordata; Aves; Passeriformes; Muscicapidae
Gene name: epidermal growth factor receptor kinase substrate 8-like protein 2
Exons: 8
Source: RefSeq, a predicted model, not a curated record